RNAcentral lists this ribosomal RNA (301 nucleotides) under uncultured bacterium. RNAcentral's name for it is "partial 16S ribosomal RNA". It matches the Rfam family "Bacterial small subunit ribosomal RNA", at positions 509 to 807 of the family's 1533-position model. The record is from RNAcentral.
CAGUCGCCGCGGGAAUACGAAGGGGGCUAGCGUUGUUCGGAAUUACUGGGCGUAAAGCGCACGUAGGCGGAUACUUAAGUCAGGGGUGAAAUCCCGGGGCUCAACCCCGGAACUGCCUUUGAUACUGGGUAUCUCGAGUCCGGAAGAGGUGAGUGGAAUUCCGAUUGUAGAGGUGAAAUUCGUAGAUAUUCGGAGGAACACCAGUGGCGAAGGCGGCUCACUGGUCCGGUACUGACGCUGAGGUGCGAAAGCGUGGGGAGCAAACAGGAUUAGAUACCCGAGUAGUCCCUGUCUCUUAUAC